GCCACGGUGGUCUAGCGGUUAGAACGCUGGCCUUGUAAUCCUGGGGUCUCGGGUUCGCUUCCUGGCGGUGCCC
Non-coding RNA from Zootermopsis nevadensis, 73 nucleotides. Lineage: Eukaryota; Metazoa; Arthropoda; Insecta; Blattodea; Termopsidae. The record is from Rfam.